UCUUCAUAAAAACAUUUUAGAAACAUUACAUGCCUUUUUUAAUCCCAUCAGACAAAUUAGUUUGCUCUAAAGGUCUGUGGCUUUUAUUCUCUCUCAUCCUUUAUUUUUGGUUAUCUUUCUUAAGCAGGGUAAAAAGACAAAUCAUAGAACAGCUCAAUUUACUGUGACUUGAAUUGAGUAUUUAAAGGUAAAAAUUGCUUACCCAGUCCUGCUGAGAUAGCACUGCAGAAGAAUUUGGUUUCUCAAAAGUGCAAGAUAUCCCCUGCUUUACUCCACACUGGUGUUUGAGUGGAAAAAAUGCACUGUGUCAGGGAGCAAAGAGUGAUAAAAAGCAGAAGGCUUCAAAGCCAGCCAGAUUGUUGAUGGAAUGUUUUCCUCCUAGAUGAACAUGAGAACAUUGUACCUACAGAAGGGUUGCCCCAGGAGCCAGCUAGCAGCAUGGGGGUGGAAGCUCCACAUGUUAAACACAGUCUGCAGCUAUGUUGCUCCCAGACCCUUUGACGCUGCUGCUGGGUGACAGAGAAACAAGCCUUCAUCAGAUGACAAGUAGUCUGCAGGCUGUAGAACUAGUGAAGGGAAACUCCCCUACAAAAAUCAAGUCUGUGCAAGAACUACAGUUUUAAAAGGUGCAUAGGAGAUGAAGAUGAUCUUACGAGGGGAAGAUAAGUAUGUAUAUGCAGUUGAAUUGGGAUUAGGACAAUAAGAAGAAACCUGUGCAAGUUUUUCUCUUUUGAAAUUGGGUGUCAAAACACUUGGAGCUUUCACCAGAUCUUUGUGGACAAGAAGCACCGCAUGCACAUCUGCUGAAGUGCACGGCUCCAUCUGUUAGCAGUCCUGGCAGAGGGGUCACGAGUUGGAAGUCCAGAAGGAUUUGGUGAUCAUCUCCCUUUUGUGAAGGCAGUCCAGUCCAGUCAGGUGAUGUUUGGGUUAUCCGAAAUUACUUCAUCUAUUGAAUUUUAAUGUUUUGAUUAAUGUGUGAUGAAAUAUCUUGAAUUAUGAAAGGAAGUUAAGAAAUAGAUAUUUUCAAGGAGGGGUAGAGAUUUUUUUUUUUACUCCAUAUUCUUGCAUACAUUGAUUUCUAUACCUCAUUAUUCUUGUGCCUGUAUAAUUAGGUGUGACAAUCAACAGCAGUUAUUCUUGAAGGAAAGUCGGCAUAACCAAAAAGUCAGGGUUUUGAAGCCUCACUCAAAUUCGGCAGCAUUUCUGCUAUGUGUAGGUUUUAUUUUAUUUUAUUUAAUGUAAAACGGCCAUGAGAAACAUUUCUCAAGUUAUGAAGCAGUAAUCCAGGCUAGUUUUUUAAAGUUUAGUGCCACAAGGUGAUGUAGGUACCAAAAUGCACCACAGGACUGUCCCUGGUUAUUGUGGGUCCCUUCCACCUCCAAGGAAUCCAUGAUUCCACUCAAUGAUUUGGCCUUCAGGCACUGGGCAUUUGUGAUCUCUGCCCAUAAGACACUCAUGGUAUCUUGCACGAGGAACGGUCCCAGUGUGUGCAGUGAGAAUUCUGAGGAAGGACCGCUGCUUCCUGAGGUGGUAGCAGAGGCAUGGCGCAGCCCUGGGGAAGGCUGUUGCUGGGUCUGGGAGCGUGACUUGGAACUGGCGGCGGCGCCCCCAUCCCCUGCCCCCGUCAG
This is a long non-coding RNA of Gallus gallus (chicken), 1628 nucleotides long. The record is from Ensembl. Lineage: Eukaryota; Metazoa; Chordata; Aves; Galliformes; Phasianidae.